CUUGAUGCUAUAUAAUACAAAAGAAUUCCCAUGUAUUGAUGGUCUGUAUAUUUAUAUUGAUUGAAGAAUCUGUAUGCAUUGUACAUGAUGCUAUUAGAAUCAUUCUACAUUAGAGAAUGUUCUACAUAAGAGAAUGCCUGUACUAAGUCAGGAAUAUUGCAGUUGUUAUUCAUUCGUUUGAUGUGUUUCAGCAUUUGAUUUUGCCAUUCCGUUUUGAAUUUUCC
This 224-nucleotide long non-coding RNA is filed under the name Mytilus galloprovincialis (Mediterranean mussel). Lineage: Eukaryota; Metazoa; Mollusca; Bivalvia; Mytilida; Mytilidae. The record is from RNAcentral.